This 1144-nucleotide long non-coding RNA is filed under the name Anser brachyrhynchus (Pink-footed goose). RNAcentral describes it as "lncRNA (ENSABRG00000008513.1)". The record is from RNAcentral. Lineage: Eukaryota; Metazoa; Chordata; Aves; Anseriformes; Anatidae.
CACUUACUGAACUGGGCUGGAAAGUAGGAUGCUUCCUCAGACUUUGCUCUGCUUGCCAGCAGUCAGUCAGCCAAGGCUGUCAUACUGGUGUGGUGACCCUAAUUUGAGACCCUCAGGUGAUGAUUGCUACAAGUUCCGUUUAAGGCAGGAAGUCAGUUCAUCUUCAGAGGGGAACCCUACGCUGCCUUCUGGACCACUGCAAUCCACAGAGCUGCACUUCAGGUCAGGUCUGCUCUGCUCUGCCAUGGUCAUCCAGUCCUGGCUCACCUAACAUCUCUCUGUCCCUCUACGGGCCCUGCUGAUGCUGGUUUGUCACAGUGUCUGCUGUCAGGAGGCAUUACUGUGGCCUCUGCUCACCGUGGCAAAGAUCAGCGACAUGCCUGGCUAUGCAGCACCACCACCCACUGGGCACAGUCCUAGUGGCCACAAGCCAUUGUGGCCACUUGCUUCACAGGCACUCAGUCCUUCACAGUUGCUUGGGGGAGGUGACAGGCAGCACCGAGGCUGGGUUGUGUGUACAAUGGUGUCUUUCUGUCACUUCUCUUCCCUCUGCUUCUCCAUGCUUCCUACUCAUCUUCCUCUGCCCCCUGCGUGGGUCCCACUAGGGCCCCAGUCCCACAGGAAUGUCACUCCCUCAGAAUGGGUUGCCCACAGGCCUUAGUCCCUCAGUGCAGCCUCCCUUCUGCCAGCAUCGGGUCUCCAUCCAUGUGCCCCACACUGUCGCCUCCCUGUGUCCCUCAUGUUUCUCCUGCCCUCACAGCUGCCACUUGCCCCCAGCAGCACUAACUGGACCAACAUGAGCCAGGAGGAAAUGGCGGCAGCCAGCACCAGGCCACUCACAGCCUCCUCAUGCAUUGGCAUCAGGUGUGCCAUGCAUGUGUCCUGGGCAACUACAGGACUCACAAAAAUAUGUCUGUUUAAAGGGGUUGACUCAGAGAAAUGAAACCCAAACUCCGAAAUCAGCAUGUCUUUUCCAUGAUGACACUGUUUUUCUCAAUUUUCACUGUUUUCCUCCUUUAAUACUGUCACUUAAACAGGAUAUACAAAACACAUUAAAAAAAAAAAAAAAAGAUAUUGCUUACAGUCUUGCAGCUUUUGGAUGUUACAUGAGAAAGUAAAACCACCCUGCUGCUUAGACAGCAAG